RNAcentral lists this ribosomal RNA (96 nucleotides) under Salmonella enterica. RNAcentral describes it as "partial 16S ribosomal RNA". It matches the Rfam family "Bacterial small subunit ribosomal RNA", at positions 1 to 90 of the family's 1533-position model. Lineage: Bacteria; Pseudomonadati; Pseudomonadota; Gammaproteobacteria; Enterobacterales; Enterobacteriaceae. The record is from RNAcentral.
UUAAAUUGAAGAGUUUGAUCAUGGCUCAGAUUGAACGCUGGCGGCAGGCCUAACACAUGCAAGUCGAACGGUAACAGGAAGCAGCUUGCUGUUUUG